CGCGUAGGCGGGCUGUUAAGUCGGAGGUGAAAGGCUGGGGCUCAACCCCAUGCAGUGCCUCCGAUACUGGUGGUCUUGAAUGCGGCAGGGAGAAGUGGAAUGGCUGGUGUAGCGGUGAAAUGCGUAGAUAUCAGUCGGAACGCCGGUGGCGAAGGCGGCUUCUUGGGCCGAUAUUGACGCUGAUGCGCGAAAGCUGGGGGAGCGAACG
This 208-nucleotide ribosomal RNA is filed under the name uncultured bacterium. RNAcentral's name for it is "partial 16S ribosomal RNA". It matches the Rfam family "Bacterial small subunit ribosomal RNA", at positions 568 to 774 of the family's 1533-position model. The record is from RNAcentral.